GGUUAAAUCAUACUAGAGAUCACAUGAAGACAUUCUAAAAUCACACUAUAAAAAUUGCUGAUAUAGGAGGAAAGGCUUACAAGAAUGUCUUUCAAACCCUUUUAUCCAACAAGUUAUUCAUCUUUUACUUUUCUUUCUUCCAACCUUAUCCUCUAUGAUACUAUUUUACUUUCUAAAUGAAUACAGUUUUGCCAUUUCGAUAGGACAAACAAUUUGACCUCUAAAAGAAACUUUGAAAUCCAAAAGUCUAUAAAGAAUUAAGGCCUGAAUUUAAGACUUAAGGCCAAUUCUUUAGACACAAUUCUCUACUUCUAAAAAUGCUAAGGUUGUAAUUUGGAAAAAACAGCAGAAUAAAGACUGCUAUGGGACCUCAAAUUUUAAAAAUUGUUUAACUGUGGUAUUCUAAAUUAUCAUACAAUCAGAUUAAGUUGGUGGAACUAAAACAGGGCGCAUUACCUCAAACAGCCAGCAUUUACAAGAACCAAAUUGAUUUUUUUUUCUUACAAAAGUCAGGCAACUUCCAAAUUAAGUCACUUUUUACCAUAUACCCUGGAGAAUAACAUGGCCCGACACACCACACGUCCCACUUAUCUAGUUCAAGCGAGUAACAUAACGUGAGAAACUGCACUGUGUAAUUCCUUUAUUUUCUGCAUAUUAGUGCUUUACCAACACUACAACCAUAAAGAACACAAUUCCAAGUACUGUACUUUUUAGUUUGGGGAGAUCACAGUCUACAGACUCAUUUACUUAUAUUAAACAAGAUUAACCUCAUUCAAAACUUACUGCAGUUUAUAAAUUCACAUAAAUACAGAAAUGGAUGCAAUUAAACAACUUCAGGAUCUUAUUUUUAAAAUUCUUAGAUAAUUUUUUCUGCAGGCUAUAAUUACCUGCUCCAGUCACCAAUGGUUAUUGUUCAAUUUAACUACAUCAAUUAUAAACCUCUUAUAUCCUUAAAGAAAAUUUUAAGUGAAAAUUACAAUUUCUUACCAAAAGGUUUAGGGUUUUCCAAAUUUCAAAUAUUUGCUUCCCCCUCCCCCCUUUCCAGUCAAACAUUUCAAAUAAACUAAAAAUAACCACAUCUCACCUGCAACAUUCAAUAAUAGCAAUCACUUGAUGUAUAAAAUUUUAACUAUGCCCCCAGUUAUUUUAAGACACAAAAAAAUGGCUGCCUACCAAUCUGUCUUCACAAGUUAGAAAUACUACAUUUAAGAUUUAACAUGAGGGUUUCAAGUUUCCUCCAGUUUAGGCAUUUAUACCUUUGUGCUUGUUUUGUUUCAGGAUGUUACUAUAGCAUUGAUAUUGGAUAACCCAUAUUUAUAUACUUUAAAAUGCAAUCAUUUGAAACACUAAAAAUUACAUUUAUGGUGGAGCUUUGGAAAUUUUAGAAAGCAACCAGUGUUCUUAGAUGUGUUUAUCAGCCUCAUUUCUAGAGCUCUUUCUACUAAAGUGAAACUGAGAACUUCGUACUUUAGUUGUAUCCUGAAAUCAAAAAAAUCCCUCUGCACCAACAGGAGCCUACAUUUCUGAAAUUCCCUAUUUAAUUCCUUGAGGAUCACUAAAAUUAAUCCUUAAGGCUAUAUAGGAACCAGAUGCUGCUUUACAAUUCUGCAUCAAGCAUUAACAUUUGGUUCAAAAUAUUAUCAUAGUGGUCGCAAUCCAGUUACUGGUCCUAACCAGCUAACCAAGUAAUCUUGUUAGGAUCUGGAUAUCACCAGCGAGCACACUGCUUACACAUGAAGAAAAAUAAGUUUACAUUCAUUGUCAUCUGUAGGUUCUUUCUCUUCAUCCUACGUCCCCUUUAAUAGUCAUCCCUCAAGUCUACACAUCAUUCAUUCAUCACGCUUCCUUCCUUAAAGGAGACAGUGUACUAUUGAACCAACAGGAUAUCUUUUUUAUUAUUUGCAUGAGUUAAUCCUACAAACAAAAUUAAAUACCUCUUUUAUAAAACAUCUUUUCCAGUGUUCUAAUUGAUGGAGAUGCGGAUCACUCAUCUAUAAAAAAUGACUUACAGCUUCAGCUUAAUCAGUUGCUAUAAUGUGAAAACAGGAAUGUGUAUUUUUUUCAACUAGGUAAAAGGUGCAUAUAAUUUGAAUUGUUAAAUGUUUUAUUAAUGAACAAAGUAAACCUUUUAGUAAUUUUUAAAUUACUGGUCUUAGGUGUUUGAAACAAGGUAAAAGUAUACAUUCCAGUUUUGCCCAAAAGUCACUUAAAAUAUCUACAAAUUAUUUAAUCUGUGUGUGGUAACACCAUUAUUGCUCCAAUUUCUGGAAAGAGUCUAUUUUCAAAGUUUAAAAAAGAGGAAAAACAGCAAAGUGGCUAACUUUGCAGUGGAAAGAAAAAGUGUCCUUCAUGGGUUACACUUUCAUAUUUUUAUGCAGCAUUAAGUUAUCUACGUUAUGGGGAACUUGGGUUUUAUUCCUACUCAUGCAUGAUGUGUUUCAGAACUUACUUGCUGACAUUUCAGAGAACUUCUUACAUUACCUGUUUAACAUACUGAGGUGCAACUGGAACAUAUUACAAUAUUACUCAUUAUUUGCCACUGUGGGCUAAGUUUACUAUACUGGUCUUAGAUAUAAAAGGUCACAUUUGAAAUUACUAAGUUAGAACUCAUAAGGAAGGGGGGGGAAGGCCUUAAAUAUAAAAGACAAACGGCAGUUUGAUUAAGCAAUAAUUUUCAGUUUACUAGAUGAAACAGACUUGCAACAUAGUCUGCAUGAAUGCAAAAUAAG
This 2729-nucleotide long non-coding RNA is filed under the name Homo sapiens (human). Its description in RNAcentral is "HSALNT0210672". The record is from RNAcentral. Lineage: Eukaryota; Metazoa; Chordata; Mammalia; Primates; Hominidae.